AGAUUGAACGCUGGCGGCAUGCUUUACACAUGCAAGUCGAACGGUAACAGGCCGCAGGGUGCUGACGAGUGGCGAACGGGUGAGUAAUGCAUCGGAACGUGCCCAGUCGUGGGGGAUAACGCAGCGAAAGCUGUGCUAAUACCGCAUACGAUCUAUGGAUGAAAGCGGGGGACCGAAAGGCCUCGCGCGAUUGGAGCGGCCGAUGUCAGAUUAGCUAGUUGGUGGGGUAAAGGCCCACCAAGGCGACGAUCUGUAGCUGGUCUGAGAGGACGACCAGCCACACUGGAACUGAGACACGGUCCAGACUCCUACGGGAGGCAGCAGUGGGGAAUUUUGGACAAUGGGCGCAAGCCUGAUCCAGCAAUGCCGCGUGCAGGAAGAAGGCCUUCGGGUUAG
RNAcentral lists this ribosomal RNA (396 nucleotides) under uncultured soil bacterium. Its description in RNAcentral is "bacterial SSU rRNA". It matches the Rfam family "Bacterial small subunit ribosomal RNA", at positions 26 to 426 of the family's 1533-position model. The record is from RNAcentral.